GAAUGGGUAGGAAAAAAUGUGGCAUAUACAUGCGUCUCGCUGUGGCUGUACCCUGCUCCUUCGAUCCUGCAGACCAGGCCUGGCACUUUCUUGCACCCUGGGCCCAGGGCGGCUUGCAGGAAGCAAAGUGGUUUCCGUCUUCUGGACCAGAUUGGCUGUUCUUGCAGAGAAGGUCCAGGCCCAUCUGGAUCACAGAGCAGCACUAGAGUCUGGCACGUGCGUGCUGUUGAUGCUCAGGCCUUCACCCCUGCAGGUCAGUGCGUGGCUGCCAUGGCUCCGAUUCCUGUCCUGUGCCCGCCACCUUCCAAGGCUGUGCUUCAAGGCAAGGGCCGUUUCCUACUCGUUCUUUUUAUUCUAGAAGAUUAGUCUUUAAGCAGAGUUCCACAGGUAUAUAAAUAUAUACUUAUGCAUAUAUGGGUAAGUCUUUUCCCUCGAGGCCCGUCCAUGCGCUUGGCUCCAGUGAGUCUUCAGGCAGAUUUGGAGUCAGCAAACUGCAGGUCAGCUCCUGGCCACGUUGGGCUGUCUUGCUUGCAGCUUCUCUGGAGUGGUAUGGAAAGGCCAGAGAGUUUUCCCGAGCUGAUGAAAGCGGCCUUGCCUACUUUGAAUUUUCUCUCUCUCUCUCUCUCCUUCCUUGCAAUGCUGAGGAUCCAACCCAAAGCCUGAUGCAGGCUAGGCAAACGCCCUGCGCUGAUUGCCCACGUUGAAACAGAAGCGCAGAGGAUCGGUGCACCCCAGUGUGUUUAUCCUGUCAGGCUUUUACCUGCGACACUAACCUAGCAACGAUUAUGCUGCAGCGACUACAGAAACAGCAUGUUCACAUAAAUCAAUAAACUGAAAUCAAGUGCUACCACCUUUAAAGCACAUCUUUGAUUAAUAUUUGUGUAUUGAAUACUGAUCUUAAUCAGGAUGCUUCACCCCCUCUCCCCCCAGCCCAGCAGAGGAGCUGGGAGGACUGGAGGGACCCUGGGGAUGUGACCUGUCAGGGCAGGCUGUGCACCACCCCCAGUGUCUGAC
Molecule: long non-coding RNA, 1014 nt
Filed under: Marmota monax (woodchuck)
Lineage: Eukaryota; Metazoa; Chordata; Mammalia; Rodentia; Sciuridae
Source: RNAcentral